RNAcentral lists this ribosomal RNA (253 nucleotides) under uncultured bacterium. Its description in RNAcentral is "partial 16S ribosomal RNA". It matches the Rfam family "Bacterial small subunit ribosomal RNA", at positions 524 to 776 of the family's 1533-position model. The record is from RNAcentral.
UACGAGGGGGGCAAGCGUUGUUCGGAAUUAUUGGGCGUAAAGGGCGCGUAGGCGGUUUGACAAGUCUGAUGUGAAAUCUCUGGGCUCAACCCAGAGUCUGCAUUAGAAACUGUCGGGCUUGAGUAUGGGAGAGGUGAGCGGAACUUAGGGUGGAGCGGUGAAAUGCGUUGAUAUCCUAAGGAACACCGGUGGCGAAAGCGGCUCACUGGAUCUCUUCUGACGCUGAGGCACGAAAGCUAGGGUAGCGAACGGG